GAUUUCUGGCUUGAAACAUUUAGCCGGCCACGGUUUCGUGUGUUAGUGCUUGAUGUUCUGGCCAUCCUUCCAAUUGCUAUUCAUCUUUCUUCAUUGAUGGGUGAGUGGUAUUGGAUCUUUUACUUUGAAAAAAUUAGAGUGUUUCAAGCAGGCAUUUGCUAUGAAUACAUUAGCAUGGAAUAAUAAUUUAGGACUUUUGUUCUCUUUUGUUGGUUUCGCGAACGGAAGUAAUGAUUGAUAGGGAUAGUUGGGGGUGCUAGUAUUCAGUGGCCAGAGGUGAAAUUCUCGGAUUCACUGAAGACUAACUUAUGCGAAAGCAUU
RNAcentral lists this ribosomal RNA (321 nucleotides) under Sandonidae sp. Its description in RNAcentral is "SSU rRNA". The stretch from base 112 to 321 matches the Rfam family "Eukaryotic small subunit ribosomal RNA", at positions 744 to 955 of the family's 1831-position model. Lineage: Eukaryota; Cercozoa; Glissomonadida; Sandonidae. The record is from RNAcentral.